Molecule: ribosomal RNA, 253 nt
Filed under: uncultured bacterium
Lineage: Bacteria
Description: partial 16S ribosomal RNA
Rfam family: Bacterial small subunit ribosomal RNA
Source: RNAcentral
UACGAAGGGUGCGAGCGUUGUCCGGAAUCACUGGGCGUAAAGGGCGCGUAGGCGGCGCGGGUAGUCAUCGGUGAAAGUUCAGGGCUCAACUCUGAAUCGGCCGGUGAUACUCCCGUGCUCGAGCACUGUAGAGGCAGGUGGAAUUCCGGGUGUAGCGGUGGAAUGCGUAGAGAUCCGGAAGAACACCGGUGGCGAAGGCGGCCUGCUGGGCAGUAGCUGACGCUGAUGCGCGACAGCGUGGGGAGCAAACAGG